This 502-nucleotide ribosomal RNA is filed under the name uncultured bacterium. RNAcentral's name for it is "partial 16S ribosomal RNA". It matches the Rfam family "Bacterial small subunit ribosomal RNA", at positions 899 to 1397 of the family's 1533-position model. The record is from RNAcentral.
ACUCAAAUGAAUUGACGGGGGCCCGCACAAGCGGUGGAACAUGUGGUUUAAUUCGACACUACGCGAGGAACCUUACCUAGGCUUGACAUGCUUUUGACAGUUGUAGAAAUACAAUCUUCUUUACUUUGUAAAGACAAUUGCACAGGUGCUGCAUGGUUGUCGUCAGCUCGUGUCGUGAGAUGUUGGGUUAAGUCCUUUAACGAGCGCAACCCUUGCCGAUAGUUGCUAUUUGUUUACAAAGCACUCUAUUGGGACUGCCUGGGAAACCAGGAGGAAGGUGGGGAUGACGUCAAAUCAUCAUGGUCCUUAUGUCUAGGGCUACACACGUGUUACAAUGGUCAGUACAGAGGGGUGCAAUUCUGCGAAGAUGAGCAAAUCCUUAAAACUGAUCUAAGUUCGGAUUGCGGUCUGCAACUCGACCGCAUGAAGUUGAAAUCGCUAGUAAUCGCGUAUCAGCAACGACGCGGUGAAUACGUUCACGGGCCUUGUACACACCGCCCGU